CCUACGGGAGGCAGCAGUGAGGAAUAUUGGUCAAUGGGCGCGAGCCUGAACCAGCCAAGUCGCGUGAGGGAAGACGGUCCUAUGGAUUGUAAACCUCUUUUGUCGGGGAGCAAAAGACGCCACGCGUGGCGUUCCGCUAGUACCCGAAGAAAAAGCAUCGGCUAACUCCGUGCCAGCAGCCGCGGUAAUACGGAGGAUGCGAGCGUUUUCCGGAUUUAUUGGGUUUAAAGGGUGCGCAGGGGGAAGAUCAAGUCAGCGGUAAAAUUGUGGGGCGCAACCUCUUAGAGCCGUUGAAACUGGUUGUCUUGAGUGAGCGAGAAGUAUGCGGAAUGCGUGGUGUAGCGGUGAAAUGCAUAGAUAUCACGCAGAACUCCGAUUGCGAAGGCAGCAUACCGGCGCUCAACUGACGCUCAUGCACGAAAGUGUGGGUAUCGAACAGGAUUAGAUACCCGAGUAGUC
Molecule: ribosomal RNA, 459 nt
Filed under: uncultured bacterium
Lineage: Bacteria
Description: partial 16S ribosomal RNA
Rfam family: Bacterial small subunit ribosomal RNA
Source: RNAcentral